This 345-nucleotide long non-coding RNA is filed under the name Drosophila guanche. Lineage: Eukaryota; Metazoa; Arthropoda; Insecta; Diptera; Drosophilidae. The record is from RNAcentral.
UCUUUAUUGACUGGGGUCGCUGCAUGGGGCAUAAAUCAACAGGAGACGUCACGAAGCCUCAACCUCAGGUAGCAACGCUCAACGGCCAAAAGGCGACAUCGAACUCCAAACGGAAUGCCGCGUUUCUCUCUAAACUCAAUUAGUGCACAGUCUUUCGUUCUUUGCGUGUGAGCGAGCGUUCUGCAUUCCUUGCAUGCCACACUGGCAUUUGAUUGAUAAUUUCGCUACGCCCCGAACAUGGCACACAAAACAAAACAAAACCAAAAGAAGGAGGACAACAGAAUAUGGAAAACAGAAAACGAAAAAUAUUCAUUUUGAAAUGUUUGAUAUGGUUGCCGUUCCCAG